Molecule: ribosomal RNA, 297 nt
Filed under: uncultured eukaryote
Lineage: Eukaryota
Description: partial 18S ribosomal RNA
Rfam family: Eukaryotic small subunit ribosomal RNA
Source: RNAcentral
CCCUUAGACGCUCUAGGCGGCACGCGCGCUACAAUGGGUGGUAGAACGUGUAACUGCUCCCGAAAGGGAGGGUGAACCACGAAUACUUACCCGUGAAUGGGAUAGUUUGUUGCAAUUUUCGGACUUGAACUAGGAAUCCCUUGUAAGAAUGCUCAAGAAUAGCGUGCUGAAUACGUCCCUGCCGUUUGUACACACCGCCCGUCGUUUCUUCCGACUGAUACUCAUUGUGAGUUGCAAGGAUUCUUAUUGAAAAAUUGCUGCGAAUGCUUUGUAUUGGAGGAAGAAAAAAUCGUAACA